GAUGAACGCUGGCGGCGUGCCUAAUACAUGCAAGUCGAGCGAACAGACGAGGAGCUUGCUCCUCUGACGUUAGCGGCGGACGGGCGAGUAACGCGUGGAUAACCUACCUAUAAGACUGGGAUAACUUCGGGAAACCGGAGCUAAUACCGGAUAAUAUAUUGAACCGCAUGGUUCAAUAGUGAAAGACGGUUUUGCUGUCACUUAUAGAUGGAUCCGCGCCGCAUUAGCUAGUUGGUAAGGUAACGGCUUACCAAGGCAACGAUGCGUAGCCGACCUGAGAGGGUGAUCGGCCACACUGGAACUGAGACACGGUCCAGACUCCUACGGGAGGCAGCAGUAGGGAAUCUUCCGCAAUGGGCGAAAGCCUGACGGAGCAACGCCGCGUGAGUGAUGAAGGUCUUCGGAUCGUAAAACUCUGUUAUUAGGGAAGAACAAAUGUGUAAGUAACUAUGCACGUCUUGACGGUACCUAAUCAGAAAGCCACGGCUAACUACGUG
Molecule: ribosomal RNA, 497 nt
Filed under: uncultured bacterium
Lineage: Bacteria
Description: partial 16S ribosomal RNA
Rfam family: Bacterial small subunit ribosomal RNA
Source: RNAcentral